RNAcentral lists this ribosomal RNA (674 nucleotides) under uncultured Flavobacterium sp. RNAcentral describes it as "bacterial SSU rRNA". It matches the Rfam family "Bacterial small subunit ribosomal RNA", at positions 103 to 775 of the family's 1533-position model. The record is from RNAcentral. Lineage: Bacteria; Pseudomonadati; Bacteroidota; Flavobacteriia; Flavobacteriales; Flavobacteriaceae.
CGGGUGCGUAACGCGUAUGCAAUCUGCCUUCCACAGAGGGAUAGCCCAGAGAAAUUUGGAUUAAUACCUCAUAGCAUCAUGACCCGGCAUCGGGAUAUGAUUAAAGUCACAACGGUGGAAGAUGAGCAUGCGUCCCAUUAGCUAGUUGGUAAGGUAACGGCUUACCAAGGCUACGAUGGGUAGGGGUCCUGAGAGGGAGAUCCCCCACACUGGUACUGAGACACGGACCAGACUCCUACGGGAGGCAGCAGUGAGGAAUAUUGGUCAAUGGGCGCAAGCCUGAACCAGCCAUGCCGCGUGCAGGAUGACGGUCCUAUGGAUUGUAAACUGCUUUUGUACGGGAAGAAACCCUCCUACGUGUAGGAGCUUGACGGUACCGUAAGAAUAAGGAUCGGCUAACUCCGUGCCAGCAGCCGCGGUAAUACGGAGGAUCCAAGCGUUAUCCGGAAUCAUUGGGUUUAAAGGGUCUGUAGGCGGUCUUGUAAGUCAGUGGUGAAAGCCCAUCGCUCAACGGUGGAACGGCCAUUGAUACUGCUGGACUUGAAUUAUUGGGAAGCAACUAGAAUAUGUAGUGUAGCGGUGAAAUGCUUAGAGAUUACAUGGAAUACCAAUUGCGAAGGCAGGUUGCUACCAAUGGAUUGACGCUGAUGGACGAAAGCGUGGGUAGCGAACAG